ACGAGGAGCUUGCUCCUCUGACGUUAGCGGCGGACGGGUGAGUAACACGUGGAUAACCUACCUAUAAGACUGGGAUAACUUCGGGAAACCGGAGCUAAUACCGGAUAAUAUAUUGAACCGCAUGGUUCAAUAGUGAAAGACGGUUUUGCUGUCACUUAUAGAUGGAUCCGCGCCGCAUUAGCUAGUUGGUAAGGUAACGGCUUACCAAGGCAACGAUGCGUAGCCGACCUGAGAGGGUGAUCGGCCACACUGGAACUGAGACACGGUCCAGACUCCUACGGGAGGCAGCAGUAGGGAAUCUUCCGCAAUGGGCGAAAGCCUGACGGAGCAACGCCGCGUGAGUGAUGAAGGUCUUCGGAUCGUAAAACUCUGUUAUUAGGGAAGAACAAAUGUGUAAGUAACUAUGCACGUCUUGACGGUACCUAAUCAGAAAGCCACGGCUAACUACGUGCCAGCAGCCGCGGAAAUACGUAGGUGGCAAGCGUUAUCCGGAAUUAUUGGGCGUAAAGCGCGCGUAGGCGGUUUUUUAAGUCUGAUGUGAAAGCCCACGGCUCAACCGUGGAGGGUCAUUGGAAACUGGAAAACUUGAGUGCAGAAGAGGAAAGUGGAAUUCCAUGUGUAGCGGUGAAAUGCGCAGAGAUAUGGA
This 646-nucleotide ribosomal RNA is filed under the name uncultured Staphylococcus sp. RNAcentral's name for it is "bacterial SSU rRNA". It matches the Rfam family "Bacterial small subunit ribosomal RNA", at positions 71 to 702 of the family's 1533-position model. Lineage: Bacteria; Bacillati; Bacillota; Bacilli; Caryophanales; Staphylococcaceae. The record is from RNAcentral.